GUUUUUCGCUUGAGGAUGAGCCCAUGUGGGAUUAGCUAGUUGGUGAGGUAAUGGCUCACCAAGGCAACGAUCUCUAACUGGUCUGAGAGGAUGAUCAGUCACACUGGAACUGAGACACGGUCCAGACUCCUACGGGAGGCAGCAGUAGGGAAUAUUGCGCAAUGGAGGAAACUCUGACGCAGCGACGCCGCGUGAGUGAUGAAGGCCUUCGGGUCGUAAAGCUCUGUCGCAGGGGAAUAACACAAUG
This 247-nucleotide ribosomal RNA is filed under the name uncultured Bdellovibrio sp. RNAcentral describes it as "partial 16S ribosomal RNA". It matches the Rfam family "Bacterial small subunit ribosomal RNA", at positions 210 to 456 of the family's 1533-position model. Lineage: Bacteria; Pseudomonadati; Bdellovibrionota; Bdellovibrionia; Bdellovibrionales; Pseudobdellovibrionaceae. The record is from RNAcentral.